RNAcentral lists this long non-coding RNA (803 nucleotides) under Zostera marina. RNAcentral describes it as "long non-coding RNA (ZMAR_LNC004692)". Lineage: Eukaryota; Viridiplantae; Streptophyta; Magnoliopsida; Alismatales; Zosteraceae. The record is from RNAcentral.
GACAAUGACAGAACAAUCUGCUGCUAUUCAGAAGAUGGUGCGUGUAAACAGUUCAUUUGCUAUGAAAUUGAUCUUGAGGUUCAGGUCUGACAUCACCGACCCUUGCUAAUCUGAAAUGAAACCCUAAUUAAACAGCUAAUCUGAAAUUCCAUUUGUUUCGAUUGGAUUUUAGCGGAAUGUACUUUGCAGCUUCAGAGGAGACGUUUCCGUUUUCAUCCAACGGUACCACAGCUGCUAACGUUGUUCUAUAUUUCUUCCCAGUUUCCAUCCCCAAAAGACCGAAUCGGAAUACAGUCACCAACCUCAAUUUUAGCAGGACACCAGCCUCACUUGCAUUCCAACCAUCCCCGCUAAAGAACUCCCACCACUGGAUGCUCUGACUAUGUUGGAGGUAGAAAGAACCGAAUGUCUUGCCGUCGAUAACAUGCUCCGCCCGAGCAUUGCUACAUGUAGACAACAUUAACUCCAUACCGAAGUAUCGAAUGCCGAAUUUCUUGUUGUUGUUCACCACGUCCAGACCAAAUGAGAAGUUUCUGUGAGAAUCGUCGACGGAAAAACUGUAGACUGUGACAAUUGGAUCGGAAGGACGGAUGGCGAUGUAGAUGAAGAAGAAGAGAAGGAUGAAGACGGCGAUGACUUGGAGAAUCCACAUCAAGAAGUAUGUUUUAGGUUGCUCGUCGGACAUUGCAUUUGAGCGCGGCGGUUACUUGAUCUUCGGAUUUGUAACUUCCCACUUAUGUGUAUGUACAUCAGUACGUGUGUAGAUUUACAUCCUCAUGGGAAAACUAUUGUGAAUUUAUAAU